RNAcentral lists this ribosomal RNA (445 nucleotides) under uncultured Thermovirga sp. RNAcentral's name for it is "bacterial SSU rRNA". It matches the Rfam family "Bacterial small subunit ribosomal RNA", at positions 923 to 1382 of the family's 1533-position model. Lineage: Bacteria; Thermotogati; Synergistota; Synergistia; Synergistales; Thermovirgaceae. The record is from RNAcentral.
GCACAAGCAGAGGAGCGCGUGGUUUAAUUCGACGGCAAUCGAAGAACCUUACCAGGGUUUGAAAUGUAUCUGCAUGCCCUAUGAAAAUAGGGAGGCCUUCGAGGGUGAUACACAGGUGCUGCAUGGCCGCCGUCAGCUCGUGUCGUGAGAUGUAGGGUUAAGUCCCGAAACGAGCGCAACCCCUAUUCUAUGUUACAAGUGUCUUAGAAAACCGCUCGGUAAAACGAGGAGGAAGGUGGGGAUGACGUCUGGUCCGCAUAGCCCUUAUGUCCUGGGCUACACACGCGCUACAAUGGCCGAUACAGUAGGAAGCCAAAUCGUAAGAUGGAGCUAAUCCUUAAAGUCGGUCUCAGUUCGGAUUGAGGUCUGAAAUUCGACCUCAUGAAGUUGGAUUUGCUAGUAAUCGUAGAUCAGCAAUGCUACGGUGAAUACGUUCUCGGGUCUU